UGGGGAAUUUUGGACAAUGGGCGCAAGCCUGAUCCAGCCAUGCCGCGUGCGGGAAGAAGGCCUUCGGGUUGUAAACCGCUUUUGUCAGGGAAGAAAUCCUCUGAGUUAAUACCUCGGGAGGAUGACGGUGCCUGAAGAAUAAGCACCGGCUAACUACGUGCCAGCAGCCGCGGUAAUACGUAGGGUGCAAGCGUUAAUCGGAAUUACUGGGCGUAAAGCGUGCGCAGGCGGUUUUGCAAGACAGAGGUGAAAUCCCCGGGCUCAACCUGGGAACUGCCUUUGUGACUGCAAGGCUUGAGUGCGGCAGAGGGGGAUGGAAUUCCGCGUGUAGCAGUGAAAUGCGUAGAUAUGCGGAGGAACACCGAUGGCGAAGGCAAUCCCCUGGGCCUGCACUGACGCUCAUGCACGAAAGCGUGGGGAGCAAACAGGAUUAGAUAGCCCUGGUAGUCCACGCCCUAAACGAUGUCAACUGGUUGUUGGGAAAGGUUCCCUUCUCAGUAGCGUGAGCUAACGCGUGAANUUGACCGCUGGGGAGUACGGCCGCAAGGUUGAAACUCAAAUGAAUUGAC
RNAcentral lists this ribosomal RNA (569 nucleotides) under uncultured bacterium. RNAcentral's name for it is "partial 16S ribosomal RNA". It matches the Rfam family "Bacterial small subunit ribosomal RNA", at positions 355 to 914 of the family's 1533-position model. The record is from RNAcentral.